This 85-nucleotide microRNA precursor is filed under the name Danio rerio (zebrafish). Its description in RNAcentral is "microRNA dre-mir-7133 precursor". Lineage: Eukaryota; Metazoa; Chordata; Actinopteri; Cypriniformes; Danionidae. The record is from miRBase by way of RNAcentral.
UGGAGACCUGCUCUGGUGUUGUGUGUUAAACUGUAUUCCUAAACAACAUCUAUAGUUUGAUUCACAGCACAAGAGUUUGCUCUCU